This is a non-coding RNA of Paramuricea clavata, 363 nucleotides long. Lineage: Eukaryota; Metazoa; Cnidaria; Anthozoa; Malacalcyonacea; Plexauridae. The record is from the annotation of a GenBank genome assembly.
CGUUGACGUUAUUAUAAUACAACAAGUACAAUCAACAAUAAUAGUACUAAUUAUCUUAGGCCACGGUCAAACGUCGAACGUUUCAUGUGCCGAACCUAAUGCAAAUGAAGUAGUGAAACAAAGAACUUAGCUCAUUAACAUUAUAUAGGUUCGGCAUGCACAUGAAAAGUUCGACGUUUGACCCUGGCCUUAAAUUCUCUCCCAAGUGGCUUUUGAGAGCCAGGUUGAUUGUUUGAUUUAUUGACAUUUUUAUUUAAAAUACAACAGUUUAACACUGGUAAUAGGCAGAGUGAUUAUAACUAGAGAAUACUUAUCAGGUUGAUUGUUUGAUUUAUUGACACCAUUAUUUAAACUGAACACGAG